RNAcentral lists this ribosomal RNA (433 nucleotides) under uncultured bacterium. RNAcentral's name for it is "partial 16S ribosomal RNA". It matches the Rfam family "Bacterial small subunit ribosomal RNA", at positions 29 to 507 of the family's 1533-position model. The record is from RNAcentral.
AACGAACGCUGGCGGCAGGCCUAACACAUGCAAGUCGAGCGAAGACUUCGGUUCUAGCGGCGGACGGGGGAGUAACGCGUGGGAAUGUGCCCUUCUCUACGGAAUCGUCCUGGGAAACUGGGCUUCAUACCGUAUACGCCCUUUUCGGGAAAGAUUUAUCGGAGAAGGGUCAGCGCGCGUUGGAUUAGGUAGUUGGUGGGGUAAUGGCCUACCAAGCCGACGAUCCAUAGCUGGUUUGGUAAGAUGGUCAAGCGCGAUGGGACUGAGACACAGACCAGUAUGCGACGGGAGGCAGCAGUGGGUAAUCUUAGAGAAUGAAGCCAACCCUAGUAUAGCCAUGCCGCGGAAGAGAUGAAGGCGGUAGGAUUGUAAAGCUCUAUCAGCUGGGAAGUUAAUGACGGUACCAGGAGAAGAAGCCCCGGCUAACUCCGUG